GCGGCGUGCUUAAUACAUGCAAGUAAAAUUGUCUAAGGGUAGCAAUAUUGUAAGAAGAGUGGCGCACGGGUGAGUAACACGUAGGUAAUCUGCCUUUAGGACUGACAUAAUGUCGAGAAAUCGGCACUAAUAUCAGAUAAUGCAGCGGCUCGGCAUCGAGACAGUUGUUAAACCUUCGGGGCCUAAAGAUGAGCCUGCGGUCCAUUAGACUGUUGGUGGGGUAAAAGCCCACCAAGUCAACGAUGGAUAGCUGGUCUGAGAGGACGAUCAGCCACACUGGAACUGAGACACGGUCCAGACUCCUACGGGAGGCAGCAGUAAGGAAUAUUGCUCAACGGCCGAAAGGCUGAAGCAGCAACGCCGCGUGAAGGAUGAAAGGCUUUUGCUUGUAAACUUCUGUAAGAGGGGAAAAAGAAUCCUUUUUAAGGAAUUGAUUGUACCUUCAGAGUAAGCCCCGGCUAACUACGUGCCAGCAGCCGCGGUAAUACGUAGGGGGCAAGCGUUGUCCGGAUUUACUGGGUGUAAAGGGUGCUCAGGCGGAUUUGUAAGUCAGGGGUGAAACUCCGGAGCUUAACUCCGGAACUGCCUCUGAUACUGCAAGCCUGGAGUUUGAGAGAGGGCAAUGGAAUAUCUGGUGUAGCAGUGAAAUGCGUAGAUAUCAGAUAGAACACCCAAUGGCGAAGGCCAGUUGCCUGGCUCAAUACUGACGCUAAAGCACGAAAGUGUG
This 727-nucleotide ribosomal RNA is filed under the name uncultured bacterium. RNAcentral describes it as "bacterial SSU rRNA". It matches the Rfam family "Bacterial small subunit ribosomal RNA", at positions 39 to 763 of the family's 1533-position model. The record is from RNAcentral.